GUACACCUACAGUUCAUUGGAUGGUAGUUUUGGAACUGGGAGAGACCUGGGAGAUAGAUCAUCUACUCAUAUUCUGCCUUUUUAUGUGUGAGCUACCUAAGGACCAGGAAGGUUAAGUGGCAGAGCUGGGAUUCCAAAUGAAGUCCUCUGGAUCCAAAUCCAGUGUUCUUGCCCCUGGACCACACCGUCUCCCAUACCCAGGUCCAGCUUUUGAAUAUCUCAGAUCUUCCAAUGAUGUUGCAUGGCUGUAGUUCAUGGAAUUCUACAAUCUCUGAAAACCUGAUUUGUAUCACCCAAGUGGAAAUGGAGAAGGAUAUGAAUUGGAAAGACCUCCAUGAACUGAUGCAGAGUGAAAUAAGCAGAACCAGGAGAAUAUUAUACACAGUAACUGAAACAUUGUGGGAUGAUCAAAUGUAAUAGACUUUGCUACUAAUAGCAAUGCAAUGAUCCAGGACAAUUCUAAAAGACUUAUGAGAAAGAAACUAUCUACAUCUAGAGAAAGAACUGUGGGAGAAGAAAAGCAGAAGAAAAUAUAUGAUUCAUCACUUGGUUAUACAGUUGAUGUCUCUUUUGAUCAGAUUAUACAGAUGCUUUUCAGCCUGUGACACAGAGUGGUACGCACUUUUAGACCAGAGGAUAGAUAAUAAAGUCAAUACAAUUAUGCAAAUAGGAGCCCAAGGAGACACUAAGUCCUUUUUCGCUCCUGAUCUUGGUGCUGGCCAAAUGCUUAUGUUUCAGAAAUAA
This 744-nucleotide long non-coding RNA is filed under the name Monodelphis domestica (gray short-tailed opossum). RNAcentral's name for it is "lncRNA (ENSMODG00000049282.1)". The record is from RNAcentral. Lineage: Eukaryota; Metazoa; Chordata; Mammalia; Didelphimorphia; Didelphidae.